Molecule: ribosomal RNA, 253 nt
Filed under: uncultured prokaryote
Description: partial 16S ribosomal RNA
Rfam family: Bacterial small subunit ribosomal RNA
Source: RNAcentral
ACAGAGGGUGCGAGCGUUAAUCGGAAUUACUGGGCGUAAAGCGCGCGUAGGCGGCUUUGCAAGUCGAGUGUGAAAUCCCCAGGCUCAACCUGGGAACUGCCUUCUAGACUGCAAGUCUUGAGAUCAGGAGAGGCGAGUGGAAUUCCGAGUGUAGAGGUGAAAUUCGUAGAUAUUCGGAGGAACACCAGUGGCGAAGGCGACUCGCUGGACUGAUACUGACGCUGAGGUACGAAAGCGUGGGGAGCAAACAGGA